AUACGGAGGAUGCGAGCGUUAUCCGGAUUUAUUGGGUUUAAAGGGUGCGUAGGCGGUCGGGUAAGCGUAGGGUGAAAGUCCUCUGCUCCACAGAGGAAGUGCCUUCCGAACUGUCCGACUGGAAUGCUCCUGCCGUGGGAGGCAUGUGUGGUGUAGCGGUGAAAUGCAUAGAGAUCCCACAGAACUCCGAUUGCGAAGGCAUCUCACGAAGGGGCUAUUGACGCUGAGGCACGAAAGCGUGGGGAUCAAACAGGAUUAGAUACCCUGGUAGUCCACGCAGUAAACGAUGAUGACUAACCGUCGGUCAAGACUGAUCGGUGGCCAAGCGAAAGCGAUAAGUCAUCCACCUGGGGAGUACGACCGCAAGGUUGAAACUUAAAGGAAUUGACGGGG
This 393-nucleotide ribosomal RNA is filed under the name uncultured bacterium. RNAcentral's name for it is "partial 16S ribosomal RNA". It matches the Rfam family "Bacterial small subunit ribosomal RNA", at positions 523 to 918 of the family's 1533-position model. The record is from RNAcentral.